UCUCACAUAGUUCUUUGUUGUGUGCUGCAACUUUCAUGCUGCUGCAGCAGCUGCUUCGCUUCGUGUCUGCCUGAAGUUUUGGGAUAUUUGACAUAUUUCGCAUUUUCCCCGCUGCCGCUUUGCUGAUUCAGAGCCUCGUGUGUUUAGCAGGGAGUCUAUCUGUACUUUCCUCAGCCACCCGUGUUGUAAUUACAAUGACUUUUUAAUCGUCCCUCGGACUUUAGUUGGAGUUUGUUGAGAUGACUGUACAAAGACUACACACUUAAGGGUGGGUUGUGGCCGGAGCCGUCAUCAUUGCGUCGGAGUGGAGUUGCCGUGGUAGCCCUGACGGGGCUCAGGAGGAGGGUGACGAUGG
Molecule: long non-coding RNA, 355 nt
Organism: Thunnus maccoyii (southern bluefin tuna)
Lineage: Eukaryota; Metazoa; Chordata; Actinopteri; Scombriformes; Scombridae
Exons: 3
Source: RefSeq, a predicted model, not a curated record